RNAcentral lists this ribosomal RNA (492 nucleotides) under uncultured bacterium. RNAcentral describes it as "partial 16S ribosomal RNA". It matches the Rfam family "Bacterial small subunit ribosomal RNA", at positions 29 to 507 of the family's 1533-position model. The record is from RNAcentral.
AGUGAACGCUGGCGGUAGGCCUAACACAUGCAAGUCGAACGGCAGCACAGUAAGAGCUUGCUCUUACGGGUGGCGAGUGGCGGGCGGGUGAGGAAUACAUCGGAAUCUACUUUUUCGUGGGGGAUAACGUAGGGAAACUUACGCUAAUACCGCAUACGACCUACGGGCGAAAGCAGGGGAUCUUCGGACCUUGCGCGAUUGAAUGAGCCGAUGUCGGAUUAGCUAGUUGGCGGGGUAAAGGCCCACCAAGGCGACGAUCCGUAGCUGGUCUGAGAGGAUGAUCAGCCACACUGGAACUGAGACACGGUCCAGACUCCUACGGGAGGCAGCAGUGGGGAAUAUUGGACAAUGGGCGCAAGCCUGAUCCAGCCAUACCGCGUGGGUGAAGAAGGCCUUCGGGUUGUAAAGCCCUUUUGUUGGGAAAGAAAAGCAGCAGGUUAAUACCCCGCUGUUCUGACGGUACCCAAAGAAUAAGCACCGGCUAACUUCGUG